AAAGUGCGAUAAGCACUGUGAAUUGCAGAAUUCAGCGAAUCAGUAGAUCUCUCAACGCAAAUGGUGCUAGGUGAACUUGUUCACUUGGCAGGCAUGCUUCAGCGUUGCAUUUAUUGCACUCACCCUGCAUUUUUGUCGGCAACGACGAUUGGUUCGCUAAGUUAUACUGGCGAAUGGGAAAUGCUCAACAUUAUUAACUCGUUAAGAAUGUGCAGAGCAACUCACGAAUCAACCUGAGGUAUGUCAGAUUACCCGCUGAACUUAA
Molecule: unclassified non-coding RNA, 265 nt
Filed under: uncultured fungus
Lineage: Eukaryota; Fungi
Description: sequence contains ITS1
Rfam family: 5.8S ribosomal RNA (bases 1-107)
Source: RNAcentral